CUUGGGGUGAGGGAGGAAUCCUCAAGGUUUCCAUGGUGCUCAUGGGGUGGGGGGUGUCCCCUUGGGGGGUCUCUGGACACCCAGGAUCUCCUUGGUGCCUAAAUUUGGGUUCUCCAUGGCGCUCCUUGAGAUCUCCAGGACGUGUUUGAUGCUCUUGGGGUGGGGAAAAUCCUUGAGGUGCUCAUGGUGGGGGGAAAUCCUCGAGGUCUCCAGGUGCUCAGGGGAUGGGGGUGUCCCCUGGGGGGGUCUCUGGACACCCAGGAUGUCCUUGCUGCCUAAAUUUGGGUUCUCCUUGCUCUCCAUGGCGCUCAUCUGGGGCACCUUGAGAUCUCCAGGACGUGUUUGAUGCUCUUGGGGUGGGGGGAAAUCCUCGAGGUGCUCAUGGUGGGGGGAAAUCCUCGAGGUCUCUGUGGUGCUCAGGGGGUGGGGAGUGAACCCUUGGAGGGGUCUCUGGACACUCAGGAUGUCCUUGGUGCCUAAAUUUGGGUUCUCCACGGCACUCCUUGAGAUCUCCAGGACGUGUUUGAUGCUCUUGGGGUGGGGAAAAUCCUUGAGGUGCUCAUGGUGGGAGGAAAUCCUCGAGGUCUCCAUAGUGCUCAGAAGUUGGGGAGUGUCCCCUUGUGGGGGGGUCCCUGGACACUCAGGAUGUCCUUGCUGCCUAAAUUUGGGUUCUCCUUGCUCUCCAUGGCGCUCAUCUGGGGAACCUUGAGAUCUCCAGGACGUGUUUGAUGCUCUUGGGGUGGGGAAAAUCCUCAAGAUGCUCACGGGGGAAUCCUUGAGGUCUCCAUGGUGCUCACGGGGGGCUCAGGAGGUGGGGGUGUCCCCUUGGGGAGGGGUCUCCAGGUGUGAUUCCCUCCAUCCUGAACACCCAGGAUGUCCUUGAUGCCUAAAUUUGGGUUCUCCAUGGCGCUCAUCUGGGGAACCUUGAGAUCUCCAGGACGUGUUUGAUGCUCUUGGGGUGGGGAAAAUCCUCAAGGUGCUCAUGGAGGGGGGAAUCCUUGAGGGGUGAUCACGGGGGGCUCAGGAGGUGGGGGUGUCCCCUUGGGGAGGGGUCUCCAGGUGUGAUUCCCUCCAUCCUGGACACCCAGGAUGUCCUUGCUGCCUAAAUUUGGGUUCUCCACAGCGCUCCUUGAGAUCUCCAGGACGUGUUUGAUGCCCUUGGUUUGGGGAAAAUCCUCGAGGCGCUCACUGGGGGCUCCCUGAGCCUCCCCACCCCCCUCCACACUCACC
Catharus ustulatus (Swainson's thrush) is the source of this 1230-nucleotide long non-coding RNA. RefSeq lists it as uncharacterized. The transcript has 4 exons. The record is from RefSeq and is a predicted model, not a curated record. Lineage: Eukaryota; Metazoa; Chordata; Aves; Passeriformes; Turdidae.